CAGGGUAUCCAUUGAUCUUUUUUACUUCAACCAAAUGAACUAAAAAUUUAAAAUAACAUAAUUUUUUGAAAAACUAGUUCAUUUGUUUGAAUUAAAGAGGGUCAACGGGUACCCUG
Non-coding RNA from Brachypodium distachyon (stiff brome), 116 nucleotides. NCBI's taxonomy places the organism in Eukaryota, Viridiplantae, Streptophyta, Magnoliopsida, Poales, Poaceae. The record is from Rfam.